This 72-nucleotide transfer RNA is filed under the name Camelus bactrianus (Bactrian camel). It matches the Rfam family "tRNA". From Rfam's summary of the family: Transfer RNA (tRNA) molecules are approximately 80 nucleotides in length. Their secondary structure includes four short double-helical elements and three loops (D, anti-codon, and T loops). The record is from Rfam by way of RNAcentral. RNAcentral also lists the same sequence under 2 other names. Lineage: Eukaryota; Metazoa; Chordata; Mammalia; Artiodactyla; Camelidae.
GGGUGUAUAGCUCAGUGGUAGAGUGCAUGCCUAGCAUGCACAAGGUCCUGGGUUCAAGCCCCAGUACCUCCA